This 484-nucleotide ribosomal RNA is filed under the name uncultured bacterium. Its description in RNAcentral is "partial 16S ribosomal RNA". It matches the Rfam family "Bacterial small subunit ribosomal RNA", at positions 30 to 507 of the family's 1533-position model. The record is from RNAcentral.
AUUGAACGCUGGCGGCAGGCCUAACACAUGCAAGUCGAGCGGAUGAAGGGAGCUUGCUCCUGGAUUCAGCGGCGGACGGGUGAGUAAUGCCUAGGAAUCUGCCUGGUAGUGGGGGAUAACGUCCGGAAACGGGCGCUAAUACCGCAUACGUCCUGAGGGAGAAAGUGGGGGAUCUUCGGACCUCACGCUAUCAGAUGAGCCUAGGUCGGUUUAGCUAGUUGGUGGGGUAAAGGCCUACCAAGGCGACGAUCCGUAACUGGUCUGAGAGGAUGAUCAGUCACACUGGAACUGAGACACGGUCCAGGCGCCUACGGGAGGCAGCAGUGGGGAAUAUUGGACAAUGGGCGAAAGCCUGAUCCAGCCAUGCCGCGUGUGUGAAGAAGGUCUUCGGAUUGUAAAGCACUUUAAGUUGGGAGGAAGGGCAGUAAGUUAAUACCUUGCUGUUUUGACGUUACCAACAGAAUAAGCACCGGCUAACUUCGUG